AGCAGCCGCGGUAAUUCCAGCUCCAAUAGCGUAUAUUAAAGUUGUUGCAGUUAAAAAGCUCGUAGUUGAAUUUCGGGAUUGACACAUCGGUCGUGCCUUAAGGGGUAUGAACUGGUGUAGUCAAUUUCUCACCUUCUGGAGAACCGCGAUGCCCUUAAUUGGGUGUCGUGGGGAACCAGGACCUUUACUUUGAAAAAAUUAGAGUGUUUAAAGCAGGCAUUUUGCUUGAAUACAUUAGCAUGGAAUAAUAAAAUAGAACGGCAUGAUUCUAUUUUGUUGGUUUCUAGGAUCACCGUAAUGAUUAAUAGGGAUAGUUGGGGGCAUUAGUAUUCAAUUGUCAGAGGUGAAAUUCUUGGAUUUAUUGAAGACUAACUACUGCGAAAGCAUUUGCCAAGGAUUGUUUUCUAUUAAUACAAGAACGUAAAGGUUAGGGGAUACGAAGACGAUACAGACUACCGUACGUAGUCCUUAACCAUAAACUAUACGACCGUACGUAAGGACUACGAGACGUAUUAGUUUU
RNAcentral lists this ribosomal RNA (520 nucleotides) under uncultured Entrophospora. RNAcentral's name for it is "SSU rRNA". It matches the Rfam family "Eukaryotic small subunit ribosomal RNA", at positions 569 to 1077 of the family's 1831-position model. Lineage: Eukaryota; Fungi; Glomeromycota; Glomeromycetes; Entrophosporales; Entrophosporaceae. The record is from RNAcentral.